GCCUCUGUAGCUCAGUCUGGUAGAGCGUAUCCAUGGUAAGGAUAAGGUCGAGGGUUCAAAUCCCUUCUGAGGCU
RNAcentral lists this transfer RNA (74 nucleotides) under Candidatus Woesearchaeota archaeon. RNAcentral's name for it is "tRNA-Thr". It matches the Rfam family "tRNA". From Rfam's summary of the family: Transfer RNA (tRNA) molecules are approximately 80 nucleotides in length. Lineage: Archaea; Nanobdellati; Candidatus Woesearchaeota. The record is from RNAcentral.